Molecule: long non-coding RNA, 351 nt
Organism: Xiphias gladius (swordfish)
Lineage: Eukaryota; Metazoa; Chordata; Actinopteri; Istiophoriformes; Xiphiidae
Exons: 3
Source: RefSeq, a predicted model, not a curated record
UUUGGGUUUCAUGUUGGAUCGUGGUUUCGCGUCGCAGACGUGACUGGCCGGGUGAUAGCCGAUAUUGUGUGGUUCAGAUCCCACGGCCCUGGUCAAAACAGCAACCAUUGACGCCAUGUUAAUACAUUAUCCCGCUGCAUUGUGGGAGUGCCAGUGAUGAUGAAAAGGGGCGUGCAACGUGCUGCGUUCAGAAACCCGUUGCAUCAUUAACGAUCUGAUGUAAACGUUACUGAUUGGAAAUGUAGCAGAAGACAUAUUUUUUAAAGAGCUGAGACAAGACAUAUGUUGUACCUUUCAUUCCUUUACUUUUUAAGAAGUUGAUGUCUCCGUCAAAAAAGUCUCGGUUACUUU